UACGUAGGGGGCUAGCGUUGUCCGGAAUCAUUGGGCGUAAAGAGCGUGUAGGCGGCCCGGUAAAUCCGCUGUGAAAGUCGGGGGCUCAACCCUCGAAUGCCGGUGGAUACUGUCGGGCUAGAGUGCGGAAGAGGCGAGUGGAAUUCCUGGUGUAGCGGUGAAAUGCGCAGAUAUCAGGAGGAACACCGAUUGCGAAGGCAGCUCGCUGGGACGUAACUGACGCUGAGACGCGAAAGCGUGGGGAGCAAACAGG
Molecule: ribosomal RNA, 253 nt
Filed under: uncultured bacterium
Lineage: Bacteria
Description: partial 16S ribosomal RNA
Rfam family: Bacterial small subunit ribosomal RNA
Source: RNAcentral